GACGGAGGAUGCAAGUGUUAUCCGGAAUCACUGGGCGUAAAGCGUCUGUAGGUGGUUUAGUAAGUCGACUGUUAAAUCUUGAGGCUUAACCUCAAAAUCGCAUUCGAAACUAUUAGACUUGAGUAUAGUAGAGGUAAAGGGAAUUUCCAGUGGAGCGGUGAAAUGCGUAGAUAUUGGAAAGAACACCGAUGGCGAAGGCACUUUACUGGGCUAUUACUGACACUCAGAGACGAAAGCUAGGGUAGCAAAUGGGAUUAGAUACCCCAGUAGUCCUAGCCGUAAACAAUGGAUACUAGAUGUUGGACAGAUCGACCUGUGCAGUAUUAAAGCUAACGCGUUAAGUAUCCCGC
Molecule: ribosomal RNA, 350 nt
Filed under: Bolidophyceae sp.
Lineage: Eukaryota; Bolidophyceae
Description: SSU rRNA
Rfam family: Bacterial small subunit ribosomal RNA
Source: RNAcentral